CCCUGCCAUUUGUACACACCGCCCGUCGCUCCUACCGAUUGAAUGGUCCGGUGAGAACGUCGGAUCUUGCGCUCGACACUCUUUCGGGGGUGACUUGCGCGAGAAAAGUUGUUCAAACCUUACCAUUUAGAGGAAGGAGAAGUCGUAACAA
RNAcentral lists this ribosomal RNA (151 nucleotides) under uncultured eukaryote. RNAcentral describes it as "partial small subunit ribosomal RNA". It matches the Rfam family "Eukaryotic small subunit ribosomal RNA", at positions 1651 to 1797 of the family's 1831-position model. The record is from RNAcentral.